Oreochromis niloticus (Nile tilapia) is the source of this 535-nucleotide long non-coding RNA. RefSeq lists it as uncharacterized. NCBI's taxonomy places the organism in Eukaryota, Metazoa, Chordata, Actinopteri, Cichliformes, Cichlidae. The record is from RefSeq and is a predicted model, not a curated record. The transcript has 4 exons.
AGUCCACCUCAAACCCAUUUUUGUGCUUUUAAAACCAUUGCUGAACUAUUUUUGCUUUGUAUCAGGGAGCAUUAUCCUGUGGAAAGAAGUCACAGCCAUCAGGGAAUACAGCUUUCAUUAAAGGGUGUACAUGAUCUGCAGCAGUGCUUUGGUGUUCCCCUAGGUAAGAGAUGCACAUGGACCUGGUCAUCCACUUGAUGUUUCCCAGUGCUCUGUGGUCCAGUUUUGAUGCUCACUGUCAUGGUCCAGUUCCUGGACUCACUUUGACUUAAGCUUGAAGCUUAAGCUUCUCUCUUGGACUCAGGAUACCUUACCCCCAUCUUGGAUAUCACUCUGUGCCCUCCUCCCACCUCACACCAUCAGGAACCUCCAAAUGUCAGUGACUUUGAGCACCACCCGAACCACAACCUGCACCCCAGAUUCCCCUUUAGCUCCCGGUUCAUGUACACCACUCCUAGAGUCUGAUAUCCACCAUAGCUCACAGCUCAUGUUUGGUAUUCUAAGCAUUAAAUCAUUGUAUGUAAAUAAAGCAUUG